Molecule: ribosomal RNA, 552 nt
Filed under: uncultured bacterium
Lineage: Bacteria
Description: bacterial SSU rRNA
Rfam family: Bacterial small subunit ribosomal RNA
Source: RNAcentral
UAGGGAAUCUUCCGCAAUGGGGGGAACCCUGACCGAGCAACGCCGCGUGAGUGAAGAAGGUUUUCGGAUCGUAAAGCUCUGUUGUUAAGGAAGAACGAGUGUGAGAAUGGAAGGUUCAUACUGGGACGGUACUUAACCAAAAAGGGACGGCUAACUACUUGCCACCACCCGCGGUAAUACGUAGGUCCCAGGCGUUGUCCGGAUUUAUUGGGCGUAAAGCGAGCGCAGGCGGUUAUAUAAUUCUAAGGUUAAAGGCUGUGGCUUAACCAUAGUACGCUUUGGAAACUGUUUAACUUGAGUGCAAAAGAGGAAAGUGGAAUUCCAUGUGUAGCGGUGAAAUGCGUAGAUAUAUGGAGGAACACCGGUGGCGAAAGCGACUCUCUGGCUUGUAACUGACGCUGAUGCUCGAAAGCGUGGGGAGCAAACAGGAUUAGAUACCCUGGUAGUCCACGCCGUAAAACGAUGAGUGCUANGUGUUAGACNCUUUCCGGNNNUUAAGUGCCGCAGCUAACGCAUUAAGCACUCCGCCUGGGGAGUACGACCGCAAGGUUG